Glycine soja is the source of this 1273-nucleotide long non-coding RNA. RefSeq lists it as uncharacterized. The record is from RefSeq and is a predicted model, not a curated record. NCBI's taxonomy places the organism in Eukaryota, Viridiplantae, Streptophyta, Magnoliopsida, Fabales, Fabaceae. The transcript is spliced from 2 exons.
CCACCGUUCGGUAAAAAUGGUUGGUAUUUCAAAAUGAUUUCCCGAAAACUGUCUUAAAACUUAAAAGGUUAUUCUAAAUGAUGGAGGUUGGGAUUACGAGAGGUUAGGGCAUUUUGAUUUUUCAUUGUCUACUCUUCUUUGAUUCUAUCACAAUAACCCAUACAUUUCAAAUUUAAAACCCUCUAAAUCAAUUUAUACUAUCCGGAAACCUCCUUGGCGCACUAUCGUGGCAAUUUCAGGCCGCCACAUACGGCGGCACCUUAUAGUUCCUCACCCUUGGCCGGCCUUUGCAGUUUAGCUUCUUCCGACACGAUGGUUGAGGUCGAUUUCAGUAUAGCCUUCGAGAAAAAUGACGAAACUAGAUCUGCGACUAUAGAAUCAGAUCUGCUACCAGACGGUGGUGGUGGGAGUUAUCGUGGGUGCGGGUGAAAGAAAAUGCGAAGAGAAACAAAAGUGGUGGUGCGCACGCAGUGGUCGUGGAGUUGGCCGUGUUGGUAUAAUUUGAACCUUAGGUGAAUGCACUUGAUUUCUUCCGAGAAGAAUUCCAUUGAGCAACUUGUGAUUGCCUUAAGUGCAGAGUCAUGUGCAAGUGUGGCUCUUGUGGUACAAGAAAGCAUACACUUAGUGAAUGGGAAAAACAUACAGGUUACAGAGCGAAAAAAAAAUGGAAACAUAGUGUGAAAGUGAAAAGUACAACUACCAAUGGAAAAAUGGUUAGUGUAUUUAUGAAUGAUGAAAGAAGCUAUGGGCAAUAUGAGCAUCACUAUUAUUGUGUAUUUGACUGGAUAUGCUUUUGUUUUUCAAGGCCAAGAUGAUCACCUCCUUGAAUCACUUGGUUCUAUUCAAUUUCUGAUGAAGUUGUUAAAACCAAUUGUCUCCACAACAAAAUUUGGCUAUAAACUUUUAUCAUUGCGUCAGAAUGAUGACAUGUUGAAAAAUACGACUAUGACGGGAAGAUUGGAUUCCAGUUCUGCAGAAGUUUUUUCUAGAGUUCAAGAAAUUCUAGUAAAUUGCAAAGAACUGAAAACAUGUCAGAAUGACAGUAGGGGGAGAGACCAGAGUUAUGCGAAAAUGGUUAGCAUUGCUGACUAUGGAAAAGGCUUGUUUGUCUGCCAUUUCUCUUGAUUGUAUCGUAAAGGACAUUUAUUUCCAGUUUGUAUUAUUGGCUGAAGAUGUUCUUUUCCCUCUAUUAUAUUGUGUUCUUUUAAAUGCCAAUAUUGGUAUUUUUGCUCAAAAAUAAUGCAGACAACCAAAUCUAUUCAUUUAUAUUUUA